AACGAACGCUGGCGGCAUGCCUAACACAUGCAAGUCGAACGAGACCUUCGGGUCUAGUGGCGCACGGGUGCGUAACGCGUGGGAACCUGCCCUUAGGUUCGGAAUAACUCCCCGAAAGGGGUGCUAAUACCGGAUAAUGUCUUCGGACCAAAGAUUUAUCGCCUUUGGAUGGGCCCGCGUUGGAUUAGCUAGUUGGUAGGGUAAAAGCCUACCAAGGCGACGAUCCAUAGCUGGUCUGAGAGGAUGAUCAGCCACACUGGGACUGAGACACGGCCCAGACUCCUACGGGAGGCAGCAGUGGGGAAUAUUGGAAAAUGGGCGAAAGCCUGAUCCAGCAAUGCCGCGUGAGUGAUGAAGGCCUUAGGGUUGUAAAGCUCUUUUACCCGGGAUGAUAAUGACAGUACCGGGAGAAUAAGCUCCGGCUAACUACGUG
RNAcentral lists this ribosomal RNA (433 nucleotides) under uncultured bacterium. RNAcentral's name for it is "partial 16S ribosomal RNA". It matches the Rfam family "Bacterial small subunit ribosomal RNA", at positions 29 to 507 of the family's 1533-position model. The record is from RNAcentral.